Molecule: microRNA precursor, 108 nt
Organism: Chlorocebus sabaeus (green monkey)
Lineage: Eukaryota; Metazoa; Chordata; Mammalia; Primates; Cercopithecidae
Source: Ensembl
GCAGAAAUGCAGUAUCCAUUUCUAACCUCCCAAAUAUAUAUAUAUAUGUACGUAUGUGUAUAUAAAUGUAUACGUAGAUAUAUAUGUAUUUUUGGUGGGUUUAAUUUU